UUAAUGCAAACUGAACACAACAGAUCAUAUAUAUCACUAAUCUACAUAUACAUUUUUGUAGCCAUUUUGUGAAAUAAAUCCUGGAGUUAGAAUUUAUUUACAAUGGCUGCCACUGGAUUUAAAUUAUUUGAUUUUUUUUAAUUAAUGGUUUGAAUCUUUAUACGACAAUUAAUUGUGUAACAAACCAAAAAGAUUCUAAAUAUAUGGCAAUCCCAUAUGUCACGCAAAACACAAUAAUUUAACUUCUCCUUAUCUCACCUACAAUAUUCACUAAAUCUUAAAACAACCAAAAUUUGAACUAUUU
Molecule: small RNA, 304 nt
Filed under: Arabidopsis thaliana (thale cress)
Lineage: Eukaryota; Viridiplantae; Streptophyta; Magnoliopsida; Brassicales; Brassicaceae
Description: ATSL147150
Source: RNAcentral